This 7231-nucleotide long non-coding RNA is filed under the name Sorghum bicolor (sorghum). RNAcentral's name for it is "long non-coding RNA (SBIC_LNC015671)". The record is from RNAcentral. Lineage: Eukaryota; Viridiplantae; Streptophyta; Magnoliopsida; Poales; Poaceae.
GCAUCACAGGAAAUACCAAAAUCAGCUAACAACUAUUGAGGCCAUACAAUCUCUAUAGUGGUAGUAGUAAGUGCUCGAAGUUUUGCCUUUGUAUUAGAAUGAGAUACAAUUGCUUGUUUCUUGGACUUCCAUGCGACAGAAGAACCAAGAAGAAUGCAUAGCCUAUGAUGGAGCAGACAUCCGUGAGAUUAGAGUUCGAGUAAGCAUGAGUUGAAACAAACUAUCAUAACUCAUAAAUAUAGAACAAAAGCUGAAAUGAUGUCACCAAUACAAAAGCAAAUGGCCAACAUAAGUAGGAGCAUAGAGCACUCACAAACUGACUUAAAAUGAAUUGUCUGAGUAAUAUGGGUCUAGUAAUAGUAAGGCCAAAUAGGGUGCCCACAAUAUGUUGAUAUCGUGAAGGAUCCUCAGAGGUGUACCAUCAGUAGCACAAAGCUACAAGCGCAAAUCCAUAUGCAUUGCAUUGGUGGGAUGACCAACAAUGUCUGAACAAGCAGUAAGGUCUUGGGUGCAUCCCUUGAUAGAAUGGAAAACUUCAAUACGUAAGACAAAAUACUAAGAGGACCCAAAUUAGAAAUUUGAGAUUGCUCACCAAGCUCUUCUCAUCAAAUGUGUUUGACAUCAUCUUCGGUAAUCAACAUGUCAUCAACUUAACCAAAGUACAACCACUUGGAGAGUGGUGAAUAAAUAGAACACAAUCAUGAGAGCUAGGUGAAACAUAGCAACCCGUAUCACAGAAACAAAACGCUCAAACCAAGUGUGAGGAGCUUGUUUAAGACCAUAUAAAUCUGGACGAAGACGACAAACAUAUCUAGAGGGAGCAUCUAUACCCAAAGGUGGUUGCAUAUAAUUUUUUGUUCAAAACACCAUAAAGAAAAGGCAAUCUUGACAUCCAUAUGAGGGAUGUGGAAGGACUGUGACGCCUAAGAGGGUGGGUGAAUUAAGCAACUUAAGACUCUAUUUCUAACUAUGACCUCUCAAAGGAUCAAGAUGCCCAAGAGGGGGGGGGGGGGGUGAAUUGGGCUAAUUCUAAAAAUUAAAGCGGUAAUUAAAACCUAUUAGCCCAUCUUCACCUCUAGGUGUCUAAAGUGUGUUUCCUACCAAUUCUAUUGGGAUAAAAGUUUUGCACCCUAGGUUCCAAUCCUAUUCUAGCAUAGCAAUUUAGGAAUGUAGAUACAAGAAUUUAAAUGCUUGAAAGUAAAAGCUCAAAGUAAAGAGGAAAGGAACGCCAUGAUAUUUUGCCAAGGUAUCAGCGAGUCGCCACUAGUCCUCGUUGGAGCACCUGUGCAAGGGUAUAGCUCCCCUUUGAUCCGCACAAGGAUCAAGUGCUCUAUAAAAGCUGAUUCUUCAUCGCUCCGAUGUUGUGAAUCACCCAAACCGUUCACAAGAUGGGGUCAUCCACAAGCUCCGCCGGAUGAUCACCAAGCUCCCAAUCACCACCAAGCCAUCUAGGUGAUGGCGAUCACCAAGAGUAACAAGCAGAAACUCUCACUUGAACACAACAAGCCUAAUGAGAAGGAUAGAUUCACACUUGCUACUCCCUAUGCACUAAUGAGGUCGUUAAUCUUGGAUUAUCAAAUCUCAAACACCUCACUAGCUCUUGCACUCCAUUGCACUCAAAUGGAUGCUUCAGUUGAUCAAAUGGGCAAGAGGGGUGCUUUGGACGAGUAGGAGUUGUACUUAUAGGCCAAGCCCUCAGAACCAACUGUUACCCUCCGAUUUAGCACCUGUCGGGGUCGUCGGACACUCCGACGAUAGGUGUCGAACGCGUCUGACACGUUCAAAUCGAGUGCUGAUAUAGUUGAUCAUUAGGGGCGCGUUGGACUCUGGCCAACGUUGGGUGCUUGCAUAUCAGACAUGUCUGACGCGCCGGAGCAAACUCAAACCUCCCUACAUAGCAUCGGGUGCUAGGUUUAGUGUUCGACACUAAACCCUAGCAGCGUUCGAUGGGUUGUAGAGGUCUGCCUUUGCUACAGUGCGAACACCAGAGUGUUCGAUGCCUCAGCACUGGUGCAUUUGACGCACCUUUUCUCUGUAGCUGCGCAUGUGUUAUAUAGGUCAGAUGUUGUCGUCAACGUCCGAUGCUCACCAGUCCAGCGUUUGAUGCAGCAGCAAGUCCCCAUUUUACUUCCAACUCAAAUUCUUUGUGAACUGAGAUGACUUCAAUCAAUCUUAGGGACAAAGUGAAGCUACCUAGUGCUAAGUUUUACAGGUGUGUACCACACCUAACCAUUAGACUCACCUAGGUCAAGCUACCUGUUUGCACCCCUUUAAUAGUACGACCAAAGGAAAAACAAAGUCCUAAUGACUAAUUCGAACAUCAUUCAACUCCUUUCGAUGUUUGGAACUAACCGUCCUUAACCUUAUCAUCCAUCCAUUGAAAAUCGAAAUGAUUUCCAUCUAUAGGGGCAUGAAAACCAUAUUGCCCUAGAUUGCCAUUACCAUGAUCUAACUCUCUAAUGUUUCUACAAAACACACGUUAGUCAUAGUAAUCAAUGGUUGUCAUCAAUCAUCGAAACCCAUUCUAGGGGCCUAAAUGCUUUCAAUCUCCCCCUUUUUUGUGAUUGACAACAACACCUCUAGAGUUUAUAAAAAGAGUUUGAGGUUUUCAACAUGCUUGGACCACAUGAGCUUUGACACUAAAAUCAAAAGGGGUCAGGGAUGCUCAUGUGACCUAUGAGCUCCAACUGAGAGAUUAGGCCAAGGUACUACUGCUGGGUGGCCUGGUUCUGCCUCUGAAUCUUAGCCUGCUGCUGCUAGAGCUCUAACUAUUGUUGCUGAAGAUCUAAUUAAUGCUGUUGGAAUGCAUCCUAUUGAGCGUGAACCUUAGCAAAAGUUUUUGCUGUCUAUGCCCUAUCCUAUGCUCUCUCCUACCCCUGUGUCAAAUGCUCAAGUAGCCCAAGUAGAGCUAGGUUGGUGCGAGAAGCAGAGCCAGAGCUAUCAGCCUCGUCAUCGUGUGCUACUCUGGGGACAAACUGAGGAAGCAACUAGUAGUCAUUGUCUGAGCUGUCAAUGGGGUAGAAUUCAUGGACCCAUGCUUGAACAUAAGAGUCACUCUUGCCAAGCAAAUCUGCUAGCCCCCGGCAAAUAGGUGAAGUAGUGGUGGAUCUCAUCUCCCAUCAUAGAUGCAAUGCUGUUAAUAGAGAUCACUCUAUGGCCACUGAAUGGGCCAUUUGUAUCAACAUAUGCUCUGAAGAAAUCCUCCUAGAGUGCAGUGUGAAAGUACUCAACACCUGCCUGCCUUUGAGGCGGAAACCAAGUGUCAAGCAGAACCCGACGAAGCUCCUGCACUUUGCGAGUCCUAAUAGCCCUAAGGUCAAAGUGUCACACCUCAGUGGCUUUGGGCAGUCUCAGUGCCUGGCGACCACCAUGUCGGGGUCUCUCAGCAGUAGGAUAAGUCACUACCUAAGUAUGAGCACGGGUGGACUGACGGCGAGAUGGUGAGGCCUCCUAUGUCUGCUGCUGUUGAUUGACCACCCUGACUGUCUAAGGGGUCUCCACUGACUUUGGAGUGUCCUCCUAAGCCUCUGCCUCCUCUAUACCUGCUAUGCCAAGCACUCGACCCUCAAGCUGCCACCCCUAUGGCCUCUGUCAUAGGCAUCUAGCACUGCCUUUGCCUCUGCUGCCUCUCUCCUCUCUAGUGUGCUUCCUUUUGGAUGUCACUUUGGCUUUCUAUCGAUGUUUGGACCCAUGGUCCUAACACUAACUAGUGAAUUUGUAUCUGCAUGUCCUAAUCCACAUGGUGAUACAGGAAGAACAUAGGAGAUUUAUAUGGAUUCAGGACAAAAGAGUGCCCUAUGUCUAGUGUGGGGGAUUGUCUUGUAUUAUCCUACACCGAGGUGCUCGUAGUAGGGGUUACAAGCAGGGCAUGAGAGAGGGAAUGAGUCCCAAGUCUCAGCUCUUUGUGUGAGAAAGGUGUGUUAAUGCUUGUGAGCCUAUGUGCUUGUUAUGUCUCUUGAUCGUGUCGGCCCCCUUUGAACUAGAUCCUACCUCCUCCUUUUAUAGUUCACAAGGGGAGGCAGUUGAUACAUAGGUAUGGGUAUGUGUUGUAGUGCUAUAGUCUUGGUCGAGGCAAGGGAUGAUGUAUGGCAUCGUAUGGUCAGCGACUACAUGCUUUUGGUACGCUAAGAGCGAUCGCACAGGUAUAUCCCUGCCAUGCUCCUCUCCUCCAAUCAAGGCUAGUAGGAAGGUUGGUUCUAUCUCUGGAACGACCUUGAUGGUUUCCCCUCCCACCAGGAAAGGUCGUCAUGAAGAGGUCGGAGAAGUGGAAGUGGGGGAUGGUUGCGAAGGACUUGCCAAAGCUAGAACCCCUCCUAAGGGCCUUAGAGAGGCUGAAGGACAAGGGUCUAAUGGCGGCCGGUGUAGUGGCUGCCUUCCAUGGUCGGAGGGUGCUGCCACAGGCCUAGUGACCUUUAUUCCUAUACUAGAUGGAGCCAUCUGCCUCACUGGUGGGGACCUAGAUAUCCCAAGAGGCCCUUCCUAGUGAAGAGAUCGCUAGGUGUGUGACCUAUACAGUGGCAACAACACUGACGGUUGGCGUCAAUGUGUUCCUGAUGCGCCUCGAGAAAGGGUACAUCAGUCUAGUAAGUGUGGCCUUGGCCUUGGACCUUCCUUCCCUCCUUUUUCCUUGGUUUCUCUUUUUGAUCUUGAAAUAGCGUGUCUCGGGAGGCACUAUAACCGGCACUGAGAUGACCGCAGAUGAUCCCGAGGCAUGGGUCACUGGGAAGCAUCCUGUAACUCUGGCACUAGAGCCCCUGAGGGUUGUCAAGGCGCUUGCACCUGCGGCUGAGCCUCCGAGGGUCACCGAGGUCGUGCCUACCCUAGAGCCCUUGAGGGCCGCCAAGGCCGCGCCCACCCUUGAGCCCUCGAGGACCACCGAGGCCACGCCUGCCCCAGAGCCCCUAAGGAUCGAGGAGCAGGGGGAGGUCAGGGCUCUAUAUUUGGGCCCUACAUUGCCACCCUCGCCCACGCCCCCAUGUGCCGAUCCAAAUAGCGGGUCGGCCGUUUCGGUAGCUGGGGCGGCUAGGCUUAUCCCCUGGGCAAGAUGAGUCUCUAUCUCCUUUGUGAUUUUUAUUGUUUCUUUUUGCUUUCUGUUUUGUAUUGACCAACAUGCUCUACUCUCUCAACCGAAAGCAGAAGGCACCCUUACUGGGGCUAGUGCCCCACAAGGUGUUAAAGAUUGGGGUCGCAUCUACGGCGAGAGCCACCAAGUGGGCGGUGCCUGUGCCUAUUGUGGCCGACCCUGCUAUGGCACGGUGGGCUGCGGAGGUAGUGAAUGCCAUCCGUAGCGGGGCUGAGAGGGUCCACACUGUGAGGGAAAGGGCGGUCGAGGCCUAGGUUGCCGAGGUCAGGUCCCCCAUAGUAUAGGAAUCCAAGGCUAUAGAGGAUGUUUCUACGGUUGGGACCAAGGAUGUAGCCCCAGCCAACGCCAAGAAGACUGCACAAUUUGGGGAGAAUGUUCUGUCUGUGCCAGAAGUAGGGGUCAUUGCAGAGGUGGUUAGCGUCUCCUCCGAUGUGCCUCCCCCCCGAAACUGCAUGACAUAGGGGUGAUGGGGGUGGAGAUCAUGAGCACCAUCGAUGGGCCCACUGCCCCGAGCCCCAACUUAGGGGGGAAGGGGAGGACAAGGAUGAGGAUGAGGAGGACAACAAUGAGCUAGAGACAGCCAUCACCCGCACCGGGGCAACCGCUAUUCCUGGGGUGGUCCUCAAAUUGAAUGGCAUGACUGAUCCCUUCUGAGGGAGAGAUCGACGUUCAUUAUCGAUGAUAACAUCGAGAUUUACCAUUGGAGAGACCUCUAGGGAUUUGGUGUCGAGGCCAUGGCAACCGCCCAGAAGGCUAUGGAUAUCAUCAACCGAGAUCUCUAUUCUGUCGCCCGAGUAAGUUGGUUCCUCAUUGCUUUAAGUUGGUUCUUUUCUUGUGUCUCGAUGUGUUUUCUAAAACUAUUCUCCCUCUUAGGAUCUUGCGAGGAUGUCUUGGGAGAAAUUCGAGUUCAUCCAUUGAGAGUCUACGAUUUGGGCGGUGCUGGAUUAGGAGAAAGGGCUCCAUGAGCGGGUGGAGUGGCGACUAUCAGAGAAGAGCACCGAGGUGGAGGAUCUCUGCCUUCUGGGGAGGACCUCCACCUCUGGUGCUCUAACCUAGUGGCCGAGGCCAUGGCUAUGUAGGAGAAGGUCGCCCCACUAGCAGAGAGGAUCUGGGAGAUGGAGGUAGCUCUUAUGCGGGAGUCCACUGAGCGAAGCGUCCUGGUGGGAACUUUCAAGGACAAGCUCACCCAGGUCAAGGGGGUCUUGGUGGAGCCGGACAACGUCCUAGACCAGGCCACUAAGGACCUAGAUGAGUCCCGUGGCUUUGCUUAGUGGUGGCAAGGGAAGGCCAAGCCCGAGGAGGUGUAUUUGGAAGAAAGCCUAAAAUACCACUAAGGUUUCUCUAGGUGAAACAAAAUUUUUGGGUGAACAGUCUAAAAUAAAUUCCUGUUUCAGUGAGUUUUAGGGUGCAAAGAAAUUCUAUGGUCAAGAGCCUAGACCCUAACUCAGUGAUGGUUGCAAUAGAACUCCAACCAACAAACUGGAAAAUAGUGUCAAGUCCACUAGCCAUACCUGCUUCGCAGAGAAAUACUUCAUCGAGGACUAGUGUGUGUGUGAAUCUCCUGCUCUUGAGCUUGUUGUAGAUACUCUUUUCUCGAUAACCUCUCAAGGCAAGGUGAGAUGCCGUGAGGAGAAUCCUCCGGUGUGCAGCGGAAGAAGAUGCUGACUAAGGGACGAUCUGACUGAGGGAUGACGGGAGGAUCAAUACUCAUGUUGAAGCCGACCCUUGAUGAAGCAUACCAGGACGAGCUCCUUGUGCUCCUGCCCGUGACCUUGUUGGUGAAUCCUUUGGCCCAACUCUUUAUCCUGCAAAAAUUUCUUACAAACAACAAUACUAGUGCAAGGGGUUAGUCAAGGAUUAGCGGUUAGCCGUCCAGAGGUUAGUCAUUCUUUCAAGAUUAAUUCUAGUUUCUAGUUUGGAUUUCGGCAGAACCUCCCCUUAAUUUUAGAAUUCUUAAUCCUAUUCAGACAGCACCUCCACUAUUUUUCUAUGAGAUUCUUGUAGCACUACCCCUCUCUACACUAGCUCUUGAGCUCUUGCUCACUCUCCUUACUUCUCACUCCUUUCUCUACUCUUUCUAGUCUCCAUCCCUAUCAAAUUCUCCUUGGACAACUUGAAGUCGAGAGCAAGGUUAUUGGCUAUAUAAAC